AUCAGUGUCCCUAUGCAUCACAGUGUCAGUGUCUCCAUGUUGCCCAGUCCCCUAGUCUCCCAGUGUCUGUGUCCCCAUGUCUCAGUGUGUCCCGUGUCACUAGGAUACAUGGGGACACUUGGAGAUAUGGGGCACUUGUGGAUACAGACAUGGGGACACUGAGAGACAUGGGGACACAGACAUUUGGGGACACUGGGAGAAAUGGUGUCACAGAUACU
This is a non-coding RNA of Pelobates cultripes (western spadefoot toad), 218 nucleotides long. The record is from the annotation of a GenBank genome assembly. Lineage: Eukaryota; Metazoa; Chordata; Amphibia; Anura; Pelobatidae.